This 253-nucleotide ribosomal RNA is filed under the name uncultured bacterium. Its description in RNAcentral is "partial 16S ribosomal RNA". It matches the Rfam family "Bacterial small subunit ribosomal RNA", at positions 524 to 776 of the family's 1533-position model. The record is from RNAcentral.
AACGUAGGGUGCGAGCGUUAAUCGGAAUUACUGGGCGUAAAGCGUGCGCAGGCGGUUCGCUAAGACAGGUGUGAAAUCCCCGGGCUCAACCUGGGAACUGCGUUUGUGACUGGCGGGCUGGGGUGCCGAAGAGGGAGGUGGAAUUCCACGUGUAGCAGUGAAAUGGGUAGAGAUGUGGCGGAACACCGAUGGCGAAGGCAGCCUCCUGGUCUAGCACUGACGCUCAUGCACGAAAGCGUGGGGAGCAAACAGG